GUAGCUAGAUUGGUCUGUGAAGGCACUCUAUGUGCAACGUGUGACGUUUUCGAUGCUCGAGCAAGGCACACUGAAAAGUAAGAAACAGACGACGAGAAGGUCGAGAUAUGUAUGUAUAUAUAUAUAUAUUUAUCAAUAACAUAUGAGGUAUUCUAAAAUAUCUCUUUUUAUAAAGGAAUAAUCCUAAAGCAAUUAAUAUAAUUCAU
RNAcentral lists this long non-coding RNA (206 nucleotides) under Brassica napus (rape). Its description in RNAcentral is "long non-coding RNA (BNAP_LNC027165)". Lineage: Eukaryota; Viridiplantae; Streptophyta; Magnoliopsida; Brassicales; Brassicaceae. The record is from RNAcentral.